This 1117-nucleotide ribosomal RNA is filed under the name uncultured Sporidiobolales. RNAcentral's name for it is "bacterial SSU rRNA". The stretch from base 181 to 1117 matches the Rfam family "Eukaryotic small subunit ribosomal RNA", at positions 1 to 1529 of the family's 1831-position model. Lineage: Eukaryota; Fungi; Basidiomycota; Microbotryomycetes; Sporidiobolales. The record is from RNAcentral.
CAAGUUAACAUAUUUAUGUUUUCGGGUCAGAUGGUAGUGGGAAAUUUUUUAGCCGGAUAUAAUUUCUCCCAGGAAACCUGUUAGACUCAUGUUACACUCAAGGUCAAAAUUAAGCCUCACUAAAGGGACAUGUCUUGGCAGGUUUAAAGGAAUUUGCCCUAGUUCCAUGCAGGCGGGGUAAAUUCCAGCUCCAUUAGGGUAUUUUAAAGUUGUUGCCGUUAAAAAGCUCGUAAUUGAACUUUCGGCGCCUGAUGGCCGGUACCGCGUCUUUGGUGUGUACUUGCUCAUCGGGCGCUUACCUCCUGGUGAACUCUGAUGUACUUUUACUGGGUGUCAGAGCAAACCAAGGACGUUUACUUUGACAAAAUUAGAGUGUUCAAAGCAGGCCUAGGGCCGAAUUCAUUAGCAUGGAUUAUUAGAAUAGGACGCGCGUUCCCAUUUUGUUGGUUUGUGAGAUCGCCGUAAUGAUUAAUAGGGGAUAGUUGGGGGCAUUUGUAUUCCGUCGUGAGAGGUGAAAUUCUUGGAUUGCCGGAAGACAAACUACUGCGAAAGCAUUUGCCAAGGAUGUUUUCAUUGAUCAAGAACGAAGGAAGGGGGAUCGAAAACGAUCUGUUACCGUUGUAGUCUCUUCUGUAAACUAAGCCAAUUGGGGAUUAGCACAGGAUUUUCAAUGAGUGUGUUAGCACCCGAAGAGAAAUCUUUAAAUGAGGUUCGGGGGGGAGUAUGGUCGCAAGGCUGAAACUUAAAGGAAUUGACGGAAGGGCACCACCAGGUGUGGAGCCUGCGGCUUAAUUUGACUCAACACGGGGAAACUCACCAGGUCCAGACACAAUAAGGAUUGACAGAUUGAUAGCUCUUUUCUUGAUCUUGUGGAUGUUGGUGCAUGCCCGUUCUUAGUUGGUGGAGUGAUUUGUUUGGUUAAUUUCGAAUAACGAACGAGACCUUAACCUGUCUAAUAGCCCAAGUCGACUUUGGUUGACUGCCGUUUUCUUUAGAGGCAUUUCAGCGUUUACCUGAUGGAAAUUUGAGGCAAAUACUGGUCCUGUAAUGCCCAAAGGCCAAUUCUCGGCCCACUAAAUUCAAUUCUCCUCAAAAGGAAGUGUUAAUAACAUUUCCU